Molecule: non-coding RNA, 1875 nt
Organism: Chlorocebus sabaeus (green monkey)
Lineage: Eukaryota; Metazoa; Chordata; Mammalia; Primates; Cercopithecidae
Source: the annotation of a RefSeq genome assembly
GGGCAGGAUUGGGAGCAGCGGACUCGGGCUCAGGACUGCGGCCAUGAUCGUUGUUCCCUUGUUCCCUCUACAGGGUCCCUCCCACAUGUGCCCGUGUGAAUGUGGGUGCACUGCCUGGGGCGGCUGAUGUGCUCCAGGGAUUCGAUGCUGCAGAUGCAUCAGCACAAAGCGUGGGGGUGGGGAUGGGACGAGGCUGCAGCUGGGGAGACCAGAGACCAACAACACCCAGCACAGGUUUCCACGGGGUGGGCAGCCCCAUUUCCUGACAGUAGAAACAGACUGGAGGUGGGUGCCAAGCAGAGGGCACUGCAGGGUGUGCCCAGGCCUGGAGGGUCACAGAGCCACAGGCACCUCACAACAGAGACCCUGAGGGCCAGGAGCUCACUCAGGUAAUGGAUUUCAGCAGAUCUUUCUCUCCUGAGUAAAUCAGGUACAAAAAAAUUAAGAUCCUGCCACCAGAAAAGACAAACAAGAACGUUGAUCUCCUCAGCUGAGCCCUUCUGUCCCAGGAAGCAGAAUUCUCUGAGCCCAGGCCCAGGUGAGGGUGGGGUGAGGAGAGGAGCUCAGGGUGUAGAUUUGCAUGGAGGCCCCGCCCUCCUCUGAGGCAGAGGGGAUAAGACAGGGCUGGGGGCAGGCCCAGUGCUGGGAUCUCAGGAGGCAGCGCUCUCAGGACGUCUCCACCAUGGCCUGGGCUCUGCUCCUCCUCACCCUCCUCACUCAGGGCACAGGGUCCUGGGCUCAGGCUGCCCUGACUCAGCCUCCCUCUGUGUCCGGGUCUCCUGGACAGUCGGUCACCAUCUCCUGCACUGGAACCAGCAGUGACAUCGGUGGUUAUAACUAUGUCUCCUGGUACCAACAGCACCCAGGCAAAGCCCCCAAACUCAUGAUUUAUGAGGUCAGUAAGCGGCCCUCAGGGGUCUCUGAUCGCUUCUCUGGCUCCAAGUCUGGCAACACGGCCUCCCUGACCAUCUCUGGGCUCCAGGCUGAGGACGAGGCUGAUUAUUACUGUAGCUCAUAUGCAGGCAGCAACACUUUCCACAGUGGUCCAAGUUCAUGGGGAACUGAGACCAAAACCUGCCCUGGGCUCUCAGGCUUCCUCCUUGCUCUGAAGAUGCUUCCUCACCCCGUGCAAGGGGCCUCCUGCAGCAUGGCCUUGAGAAUUCUUCUUUCUCUGCUCCUCUCUUUUCCCGCCACAAAAUCCAACAGGAAACCUGCUCUGUGGUUUCUCAUCCAGCACAGGGACAGCUUCCUGAUGCUUGUGUACUGUGGUCCCUGAAUGUGCAACUCUUCCUAGCUCUUCAAAUGCAGGGACAGUGAGAAGGAGCUGCCCGAUUGCUGCAGUCACUGCUUUUUUUCAGGGGUGCCUUCACCAUAAAUGCAUCACCAUCUCCCACACUGUGGGUAAAAUUUUAGCCAACUACAUUCUAAUGGUUAUCGCCACAACCUUGAUCUUAAAUAACAGUGCAGCGAACAUCCGUAUGCAGCCUCCUUUGAGUUCCUGUGUGAAUAUGACCAUAGGGUUCAUUUCUGAAAGUGAAAUUGCGGCUCAGAAAGAUGUGUGUUUACUUUCACCCACUGUUGUCAGAGUCCCCUCCAGAGGGGUUCUACCAAUUUACAAUGCCAGCCAGAAGUACUUGCUCAGAGUAUAUUAUUGAAAGUGUAAAUUUUUGCCAACCUACCAGACUGAAAAACGUUAUCUUGUUACAGUUUUAUGUUUGAGUCUCCCAUUCUGCUUAAGGUUGGGCCUUUUCACAAAUAGUCCAGUAUUCUUUAUUUUUUUAGGAUUUGGUAAACUUUUUCUUGAUAUCCAGUUAAGAAGAAUUUAGUUUUCGUGGUCAGGCACGAUGGCUCAUGCCUGUAAUCCCAGCAGUCUGG